AUCCCUGCGUAGUGCGUGCAGAAUGAAAUUUUAGAACCAACAAGUUUUAAAAGGGAGUCCGCCUUUGAAUGUGGCGUGUAUGCUUAAACAAUUUUUUUAAGAAACCCAGGAGCAUUCAACAAGACACCCACCUACGAGAGUAGGUCCUUAAAAUUUCUAUCAUCUUACGGCUAAGGCGGGGUUU
RNAcentral lists this non-coding RNA (184 nucleotides) under human gut metagenome. RNAcentral describes it as "6S / SsrS RNA". It matches the Rfam family "6S / SsrS RNA". From Rfam's summary of the family: E. coli 6S RNA was the first non coding RNA to be sequenced, but its function was unknown until recently. RNAcentral also lists the same sequence under 1 other name. The record is from RNAcentral.